RNAcentral lists this ribosomal RNA (233 nucleotides) under uncultured bacterium. Its description in RNAcentral is "partial 16S ribosomal RNA". It matches the Rfam family "Bacterial small subunit ribosomal RNA", at positions 122 to 354 of the family's 1533-position model. The record is from RNAcentral.
UAACCUGCCCUGGAGUGGGGAAUAACAGCUGGAAGCAGCUGCUAAUACCGCAUAAUGCAGUUGGGCCGCAUGGCUCUGACUGCCAAAGAUUUAUCGCUCUGGGAUGGACUCGCGUCUGAUUAGCUAGUUGGUGGGGCAACGGCCCACCAAGGCGACGAUCAGUAGCCGGACUGAGAGGUUGGCCGGCCACAUUGGGACUGAGACACGGCCCAGACUCCUACGGAAGGCAGCAG